ACUCCUACGGGAGGCAGCAGUAAGGAAUAUUGCGCAAUGGGCGACAGCCUGACGCAGCGACGCCGCGUGGGGGAUGAAGGUCUUCGGAUUGUAAACCCCUUUCGGCAGGGAAGAUGGAACGGGUAACCGUUCGGACGGUACCUGCAGAAGCAGCCACGGCUAACUUCGUGCCAGCAGCCGCGGUAAUACGAAGGUGGCAAGCGUUGUUCGGAUUUACUGGGCGUACAGGGAGCGUAGGCGGUUGGGUAAGCCCUCCGUGAAAUCUCCGGGCCUAACCCGGAAAGUGCGGAGGGGACUGCUCGGCUAGAGGAUGGGAGAGGAGCGCGGAAUUCCCG
RNAcentral lists this ribosomal RNA (335 nucleotides) under uncultured bacterium. Its description in RNAcentral is "bacterial SSU rRNA". It matches the Rfam family "Bacterial small subunit ribosomal RNA", at positions 335 to 672 of the family's 1533-position model. The record is from RNAcentral.